This 1584-nucleotide ribosomal RNA is filed under the name Escherichia coli. Its description in RNAcentral is "partial 23S ribosomal RNA". It matches the Rfam family "Bacterial large subunit ribosomal RNA", at positions 598 to 2167 of the family's 2925-position model. The record is from RNAcentral. Lineage: Bacteria; Pseudomonadati; Pseudomonadota; Gammaproteobacteria; Enterobacterales; Enterobacteriaceae.
UGCGUACCUUUUGUAUAAUGGGUCAGCGACUUAUAUUCUGUAGCAAGGUUAACCGAAUAGGGGAGCCGAAGGGAAACCGAGUCUUAACUGGGCGUUAAGUUGCAGGGUAUAGACCCGAAACCCGGUGAUCUAGCCAUGGGCAGGUUGAAGGUUGGGUAACACUAACUGGAGGACCGAACCGACUAAUGUUGAAAAAUUAGCGGAUGACUUGUGGCUGGGGGUGAAAGGCCAAUCAAACCGGGAGAUAGCUGGUUCUCCCCGAAAGCUAUUUAGGUAGCGCCUCGUGAAUUCAUCUCCGGGGGUAGAGCACUGUUUCGGCAAGGGGGUCAUCCCGACUUACCAACCCGAUGCAAACUGCGAAUACCGGAGAAUGUUAUCACGGGAGACACACGGCGGGUGCUAACGUCCGUCGUGAAGAGGGAAACAACCCAGACCGCCAGCUAAGGUCCCAAAGUCAUGGUUAAGUGGGAAACGAUGUGGGAAGGCCCAGACAGCCAGGAUGUUGGCUUAGAAGCAGCCAUCAUUUAAAGAAAGCGUAAUAGCUCACUGGUCGAGUCGGCCUGCGCGGAAGAUGUAACGGGGCUAAACCAUGCACCGAAGCUGCGGCAGCGACGCUGAUGCGUUGUUGGGUAGGGGAGCGUUCUGUAAGCCUGUGAAGGUGUGCUGUGAGGCAUGCUGGAGGUAUCAGAAGUGCGAAUGCUGACAUAAGUAACGAUAAAGCGGGUGAAAAGCCCGCUCGCCGGAAGACCAAGGGUUCCUGUCCAACGUUAAUCGGGGCAGGGUGAGUCGACCCCUAAGGCGAGGCCGAAAGGCGUAGUCGAUGGGAAACAGGUUAAUAUUCCUGUACUUGGUGUUACUGCGAAGGGGGGACGGAGAAGGCUAUGUUGGCCGGGCGACGGUUGUCCCGGUUUAAGCGUGUAGGCUGGUUUUCCAGGCAAAUCCGGAAAAUCAAGGCUGAGGCGUGAUGACGAGGCACUACGGUGCUGAAGCAACAAAUGCCCUGCUUCCAGGAAAAGCCUCUAAGCAUCAGGUAACAUCAAAUCGUACCCCAAACCGACACAGGUGGUCAGGUAGAGAAUACCAAGGCGCUUGAGAGAACUCGGGUGAAGGAACUAGGCAAAAUGGUGCCGUAACUUCGGGAGAAGGCACGCUGAUAUGUAGGUGAAGUCCCUCGCGGAUGGAGCUGAAAUCAGUCGAAGAUACCAGCUGGCUGCAACUGUUUAUUAAAAACACAGCACUGUGCAAACACGAAAGUGGACGUAUACGGUGUGACGCCUGCCCGGUGCCGGAAGGUUAAUUGAUGGGGUCAGCGCAAGCGAAGCUCUUGAUCGAAGCCCCGGUAAACGGCGGCCGUAACUAUAACGGUCCUAAGGUAGCGAAAUUCCUUGUCGGGUAAGUUCCGACCUGCACGAAUGGCGUAAUGAUGGCCAGGCUGUCUCCACCCGAGACUCAGUGAAAUUGAACUCGCUGUGAAGAUGCAGUGUACCCGCGGCAAGACGGAAAGACCCCGUGAACCUUUACUAUAGCUUGACACUGAACAUUGAGCCUUGAUGUGUAGGAUAGGUGGGAGGCUUUGAAGUGUGG